GACGAACGCUGGCGGCGUGCUUAACACAUGCAAGUCGAACGGGCCCGCCCCUGUUUUUGGGGGUGGGUUGAGUGGCGAACGGGUGAGUAUCACGUGAGUAACCUGCCCCCUGCUCCUGGAUAACUGCUUGAAAGGGCGGCUAAUACGGGGUGUGCCGGCUGGUCCGCAUGGGCCUGGUCGGGAUAGUUUCAUCUUCGGGUGUUUCGGUGGGGGAUGGGCUCGCGGCGUAUCAGCUUGUUGGUGGGGGGAUGGCCCACCAAGGCGGUGACGGGUAGCCGGCGUGAGGGGGUGGGCGGACGGGAUGGGAGUGAGGCACGGGCCAGCCUCCGGCGGGAGGCGGCGGUGGGGGGUAGUGAAGAGUGGGCGGAAGCCUGAGGCAGCGACGUCGAGUGAGGAAUGGAGGCCGUCGGGUUGUGAACCUCUUUAUGCGGUGGUGAAGGCCCUGUCCGUUGCGGCGGGGUUGACGGUAGCCGGGUAUGAAGCGCCGGCUAACUACGUG
This 499-nucleotide ribosomal RNA is filed under the name uncultured bacterium. RNAcentral's name for it is "partial 16S ribosomal RNA". It matches the Rfam family "Bacterial small subunit ribosomal RNA", at positions 28 to 507 of the family's 1533-position model. The record is from RNAcentral.